UCCUAGGAUUCAUUUCAGUGAUUCCAAGUGUCUGAUGCAAGCAGAUGGUCACUGUGAUUCCUAUUGCUUGCCAUAAACAAGCAAUAAAGAAUCUACAGACGGCUGAGAGCAGCAAAUCUCAAACAACUUUCCCUUAUUUUUGCUAGCAAUUUUGAAAGCGAAGGUAGCAUACUGGGAGGGAAUAAUUUCAAGUAAGAAUUCUACUUGCCAAAUUAGAACUG
Molecule: unclassified non-coding RNA, 221 nt
Filed under: Hevea brasiliensis (rubber tree)
Lineage: Eukaryota; Viridiplantae; Streptophyta; Magnoliopsida; Malpighiales; Euphorbiaceae
Source: RNAcentral